This 447-nucleotide ribosomal RNA is filed under the name uncultured bacterium. Its description in RNAcentral is "partial 16S ribosomal RNA". It matches the Rfam family "Bacterial small subunit ribosomal RNA", at positions 29 to 523 of the family's 1533-position model. The record is from RNAcentral.
AACGAACGCUGGCGGCAGGCCUAACACAUGCAAGUCGAACGCCCCGCAAGGGGAGUAGCAGACGGGUGAGUAACACGUGGGAACCUUCCCUAUACUACGGAAUAGCCCAGGGAAACUUGGAGUAAUACCGUAUACGCCCGAGAGGGGAAAGAUUUAUCGGUAUAGGAUGGGCCCGCGUAGGAUUAGCUAGUUGGUGAGGUAAUGGCUCACCAAGGCGACGAUCCUUAGCUGGUCUGAGAGGACGACCAGCCACACUGGGACUGAGACACGGCCCAGACUCCUACGGGAGGCAGCAGUGGGGAAUAUUAGACAAUGGGCGCAAGCCUGAUCCAGCCAUGCCGCGUGAGUGAUGAAGGCCUUAGGGUUGUAAAGCUCUUUUGCCGGGGACGAUAAUGACGGUACCCGGAGAAUAAGUCCCGGCUAACUUCGUGCCAGCCGCCGCAGUAA